Molecule: long non-coding RNA, 913 nt
Organism: Synchiropus splendidus (mandarinfish)
Lineage: Eukaryota; Metazoa; Chordata; Actinopteri; Syngnathiformes; Callionymidae
Exons: 3
Source: RefSeq, a predicted model, not a curated record
AGCUCACACUCGCAGGACGUGCUUCUGGUCCACUACUGGAGGAACUCUUUUCACAAACGAACCUCUUCUAUUCAAUCGAGAAACACAUUCAUAUCCUCGGACUUUAGAUUUUGGGGACGGAUUACUCCCGCUGCGCAAGAGAAAGACAACCUUGGCCGUUCAAACAAGCCGGGGAGGAUGAAGAUCUUAAGCCCCGAAGAUGGAAACAAGGGUGGGUGUUUGGAAGGCUGCUGGAUGACUGAACUCGGAGACCCGCUGGAGCUCAUCAUCAUCGCCACGGGCUCUCGUCUUACUCCUCUCUUCCCGUGGCCCCUACCUCUAGCCAGGGUCCAGCCAGUGGAGCCCAAGCGGGGAGCCAGUGAGUGGGCUGGGAAGGAUGGAGAAGCUCCCUGAAGGCCCAUCCGAAGCUGCUGGCAUGCAGGAGAAAUCAAUAUCCACCACGGUGCCGGCCCGACUCUGUGUGGGGUUUCCAGGGUUAGUCUUUGGCCGCGGGGGCUCGCAGACCUCCAAAGGACGUGCCCUUGUGUGGCCCUCAGCUGCCGCUCCUCAGACUGGACCACGGUCCUCCACCGGCUGUGUGUGGUUUGGCUGAAGGGGAUCGCUCCCCAAAUAAUACCGCGAAUGUUGAAUCGCAGCCAAGAGGGAUGAUUUUUUUUUUGUUUUUUUUUUCUCCCUCCUUUCACAAGAUUGACAUGUUCCUCACAUUCUCCCUGAAAAAAAAAACAAGUUUGGGAGCUUCCAACAUCACCUGGUUCUUUAAUCCAGAUAAGAGACUUCCAUUAUUUUCUCUGGGUUUGCUGUCACUAUGGUGAGCAGCAGACAUGUGUGGUCAGAGCAGAGACGCUGUGAACAUCCUCGACGUCCAUUGUUCGAUCCCAGCCUGGAAGAGAGGAGCAGAGAGCAGCCUAGUGGA